UGGAAACAUGAUGAACGUUCUGUAACCCUGAGAAACAAGAAAGCCCACGAAGGUGGGGAAUUUCCAAAGAGCUAGAGAACAAGGAAGCAGGUGUCUUUGGAUAAGGGUCAUGAUUAAUGACCAAGCUCACCUGUGCUAUAAAGGGAAGGAGAAAAAUAAACGGGCACUCUCGGUCUCUCUGGGAGCCCUCCCGACUCUAUUUCUGUGUCUUUCUUUUUCCUCAUCCUCACUCCCCCAUUCAGGUGCUGUUCGACAAGUGACGGCGGACUCCAUCAGCUGUCAUCCUACCUGGCCACCUGUGGUGACUUUGUACCCCUCCAUGGGCUUUCUGUCUUUGCCCAGGUCUGCCUCCUCAAGUCCUACAGCUGCUACUAACUGUUUCCCACAACUGCUUGUCAUGGCCUGACGUGAGACGUGUAGCUCAAUGCUGUGGGUAUCUGUAAUUAAGACUGGGAAUAAAAGUGCCUGACUGCUCGUGGUUACCAGGUGAAAUCCAGAGUGCGCAGUGAGGUAAAGCUGAGCUCCUCAACACAUCCCCACACCGUGGAGACAGUGAAACAGCUUCGCACGUGUUCCCGCUCCUCUGGAGUUUGAGAAGCCUCUCGUGUUGGCUGUCCUGGCCUCCCUGGGCCCAUAGAUGAGCUGAGGACCAUCACAGCUGCUCCAGGAAGGUGGAGAAUGUAGGAAGAUGGAUAUGAAGAAAUGGCGUAAAACUCAGCAAAAGAAAGAGGUCUCACUGUGCUGCCCACGCUGGUCUUGAACUCUUGCGCUCAAGUGAUUCUCCUGCCAGACAUGCCUGGCUUCAUGGAAUAAUCUGGAAGCCUGAAGCACCACGACGUUGUGGGUAAUGCCAGGAGACACUCUCAUGGGGUGGCACUGCCCAGAAGCAAAUUGGAUGUGGCUCACAUAGGGUGCUGUGGCCAGGGACUCUGCCCAGAAGUGUUCCCACUGCACAGGCACCUGUGGGUUCCACUGCCCUUGGAGGGCACCCAGCCCUGGCUUUCUGUUAACCCAGCUGGAGCUGCCAUUCCGAGAGCCAAGAACCAGAGCCUGGAGCCAGUCUGCCCAGAGGAGAAGAUGCCCAGCCCCAGCAAGAUUCCAUGUACCCUGCAAACUCGUGCAGCCGUGCCCCAAGAGACACAUUCAUUCCAUGACGAUGGAGGUGACUCAUCGCCAGCGCCAGAGCUGGACUCCGGAACUGCUGCAGUCUUUUGAGCUGUGUCCUUCUGAUGUGCGGUAUCUAAAUCUGAAAAGCAGGGCAGCCUAGGGCAUUAUACAUGUGUUCAGCUGUGGCUCCUAGCUCUUACCUCCUUUCCCAGGCAGGCCCUAGAAACUAGAGUUUUCCCAUGAAACCCAAAAGGACAAGGUUCAGCAAGCUUCAGGAUGGCUGAACUUGUGGGGUCCCAGGAGGGUGUGGUAGCCCAUGCCAUGCGUCUGUGCAUCUCUCCUCUGUAUCCUUUGAUCGCUGGUAAAUGCAGUUCUGCCCGAGUUCCACGGGCAGCUUUAGCAAAUUAAUCAAACCUGAGUGGGGGUGUGGGCACCCAGGCUUAUGCCUGUUGGCCAGAGGAUGGGGCUGUGGCUGGUAUCUGAAGUUGAAGGACAGCCUUAGGGACAGAGUAGCCUUGCACUGGGCCCUUCCAGGAUGAGGCUUGGAACACAAACGACAACCACAUGAGCCCGAGGGAGAAGGCUGCGUCUGCUGCUCCAGGAGAGCAGUGCAGCGGGACUCGCCCUGCGACAGGACCUGAGUGCAGGGCCCACUGCUCGAGCUGCUGUCCCUCUGCGCUGACUUGCAGCUGUGCACAGCACGCUGUGCCUGUGUCCUUGGUCCUCGGCUGUUUGGAUGCGGACGCCUUGUGUCAUCUCCUUGAGUGUGCCCUGUUUAGGCUGCUAACCUUCCCGCAUUCCUGGGCUCAUCCUUCACUGGAGCUGGGCUGCUUCCUUCUUCUGUUCUUCAAAGACUUUUCUCAGCAUCGCCUCUCCCCCGCUUCUGGAGUUCCAAUGACACACUCUUCACACACCCUACCGACCCCGGGCUCCAGAGGCUAUUCUCCUUCUCUUUCCCAUCUUCAUUCCUUCUUGCGAGAUUUUCCCAUUGGCCAGCUCAAGCUGUGGGCCUCCCCUUCUGCACCUCCACUUGCUGUUGAGUCUGGUGAGCCUGUCAUUUUUGUCUGCCUUUUCAAUGAUGGUGAUCAUGUUUUCAUUUCUAAAAUUUCCAGGUGGCUCUAUAUCCUCGAUUUCUUUUCAGGUACUUUCUAGUCUAAUAUUUAAGUGCUCAACAUGGCUCCAUUGAGCAUUUCUGUACAGCUGCUUUAGAGCACUUGUUGGAUAAUUUCACACCUUGUCCUCCUGCACUGGGUUCCUGAACAUGGCUGGUCAAGAUGCUGAGCGAUCCUGAUUUGCAAUGUUUUGAAUCUUUCUUUGAGACUCUGGGUCUUUCAUCCACCACACGGAGACUGCUGGUCUUAGCCUUGGUAGGCAGUGGACUUAAGGAUGCUGCUCCAGGACCUGCCGUGUGCUCACGGGGACAACACUGUGGCAGGCAGUGGCCACCUCCAGGACAAUGGACACUGUGAGCUUCACUGUGGGAGAUGCAGAAGAUGCCACCAGCACCAGUGUCCCCGUCCUUGAAGGGUCCGACCAUGGGCAGGAAGGACACCUGGCCACUCUCCUCAGCACUCAUGGAGUUCAGCCUUCUCUCACCUUUGCUGGCACCCAGUUCCCGCCUGUCUCAUCCUGUCUUGCCCAUCUUCCCUACUGCUACUGUCUUCCUCUUAUUGCCUAUAAACUUUACAUAUUAAAGUCAGUAGUAAUAGAUUAAUCCC
This is a long non-coding RNA of Heterocephalus glaber (naked mole-rat), 2825 nucleotides long. The record is from Ensembl. NCBI's taxonomy places the organism in Eukaryota, Metazoa, Chordata, Mammalia, Rodentia, Bathyergidae.